RNAcentral lists this ribosomal RNA (398 nucleotides) under uncultured Janibacter sp. RNAcentral describes it as "bacterial SSU rRNA". It matches the Rfam family "Bacterial small subunit ribosomal RNA", at positions 984 to 1382 of the family's 1533-position model. The record is from RNAcentral. Lineage: Bacteria; Bacillati; Actinomycetota; Actinomycetes; Micrococcales; Intrasporangiaceae.
ACAUAUACCGGAAACUUCCAGAGAUGGUUGCCCCUUUUAGGUCGGUAUACAGGUGGUGCAUGGUUGUCGUCAGCUCGUGUCGUGAGAUGUUGGGUUAAGUCCCGCAACGAGCGCAACCCUCGUUCUAUGUUGCCAGCACGUAAUGGUGGGGACUCAUGGAAGACUGCCGGGGUCAACUCGGAGGAAGGUGGGGAUGACGUCAAAUCAUCAUGCCCCUUAUGUCUUGGGCUUCACGCAUGCUACAAUGGCCGGUACAAAGGGCUGCGAUACCGCAAGGUGGAGCGAAUCCCAAAAAACCGGUCUCAGUUCGGAUUGGGGUCUGCAACUCGACCCCAUGAAGUCGGAGUCGCUAGUAAUCGCAGAUCAGCAACGCUGCGGUGAAUACGUUCCCGGGCCUU